Molecule: ribosomal RNA, 2901 nt
Filed under: Klebsiella pneumoniae
Lineage: Bacteria; Pseudomonadati; Pseudomonadota; Gammaproteobacteria; Enterobacterales; Enterobacteriaceae
Also listed under: 1 other name
Description: bacterial LSU rRNA
Rfam family: Bacterial large subunit ribosomal RNA
Source: RNAcentral
UUAAGCGACUAAGCGUACACGGUGGAUGCCCUGGCAGUCAGAGGCGAUGAAGGACGUGCUAAUCUGCGAAAAGCGUCGGUAAGGUGAUAUGAACCGUUAUANCCGGCGAUGUCCGAAUGGGGAAACCCAGUGCAAUUCGUUGCACUAUCGUUAACUGAAUACAUAGGUUAACGAGGCGAACCGGGGGAACUGAAACAUCUAAGUACCCCGAGGAAAAGAAAUCAACCGAGAUUCCCCCAGUAGCGGCGAGCGAACGGGGAGCAGCCCAGAGUCUGAAUCAGCUUGUGUGUUAGUGGAACGGUCUGGAAAGUCCGACGGUACAGGGUGAUAGUCCCGUACACCAAAAUGCACAGGUUGUGAACUCGAAGAGUAGGGCGGGACACGUGGUAUCCUGUCUGAAUAUGGGGGGACCAUCCUCCAAGGCUAAAUACUCCUGACUGACCGAUAGUGAACCAGUACCGUGAGGGAAAGGCGAAAAGAACCCCGGCGAGGGGAGUGAAAAAGAACCUGAAACCGUGUACGUACAAGCAGUGGGAGCACCUUUAUGGUGUGACUGCGUACCUUUUGUAUAAUGGGUCAGCGACUUAUAUUCUGUAGCAAGGUUAACCGUAUAGGGGAGCCGCAGGGAAACCGAGUCUUAACUGGGCGUUAAGUUGCAGGGUAUAGACCCGAAACCCGGUGAUCUAGCCAUGGGCAGGUUGAAGGUUGGGUAACACUAACUGGAGGACCGAACCGACUAAUGUUGAAAAAUUAGCGGAUGACUUGUGGCUGGGGGUGAAAGGCCAAUCAAACCGGGAGAUAGCUGGUUCUCCCCGAAAGCUAUUUAGGUAGCGCCUCGUGAACUCAUCUUCGGGGGUAGAGCACUGUUUCGGCUAGGGGGUCAUCCCGACUUACCAACCCGAUGCAAACUACGAAUACCGAAGAAUGUUAUCACGGGAGACACACGGCGGGUGCUAACGUCCGUCGUGAAGAGGGAAACAACCCAGACCGCCAGCUAAGGUCCCAAAGUCAUGGUUAAGUGGGAAACGAUGUGGGAAGGCACAGACAGCCAGGAUGUUGGCUUAGAAGCAGCCAUCAUUUAAAGAAAGCGUAAUAGCUCACUGGUCGAGUCGGCCUGCGCGGAAGAUGUAACGGGGCUAAACCAUGCACCGAAGCUGCGGCAGCGACACUAUGUGUUGUUGGGUAGGGGAGCGUUCUGUAAGCCUGCGAAGGUGACCUGUGAGGGCUGCUGGAGGUAUCAGAAGUGCGAAUGCUGACAUAAGUAACGAUAAAGCGGGUGAAAAGCCCGCUCGCCGGAAGACCAAGGGUUCCUGUCCAACGUUAAUCGGGGCAGGGUGAGUCGACCCCUAAGGCGAGGCCGAAAGGCGUAGUCGAUGGGAAACAGGUUAAUAUUCCUGUACUUGGUGUUACUGCGAAGGGGGGACGGAGAAGGCUAUGUUAGCCGGGCGACGGUUGUCCCGGUUUAAGCAUGUAGGCUGGUUAUCCAGGCAAAUCCGGAUAAUCAAGGCUGAGGUGUGAUGACGAGGCACUACGGUGCUGAAGUAACAAAUGCCCUGCUUCCAGGAAAAGCCUCUAAGCAUCAGGUAACAUCAAAUCGUACCCCAAACCGACACAGGUGGUCAGGUAGAGAAUACCAAGGCGCUUGAGAGAACUCGGGUGAAGGAACUAGGCAAAAUGGUGCCGUAACUUCGGGAGAAGGCACGCUGGUGUGUAGGUGAAGUCCCUGCGGAUGGAGCUGAGACCAGUCGAAGAUACCAGCUGGCUGCAACUGUUUAUUAAAAACACAGCACUGUGCAAACACGAAAGUGGACGUAUACGGUGUGACGCCUGCCCGGUGCCGGAAGGUUAAUUGAUGGGGUUAUCCGUAAGGAGAAGCUCUUGAUCGAAGCCCCGGUAAACGGCGGCCGUAACUAUAACGGUCCUAAGGUAGCGAAAUUCCUUGUCGGGUAAGUUCCGACCUGCACGAAUGGCGUAAUGAUGGCCAGGCUGUCUCCACCCGAGACUCAGUGAAAUUGAACUCGCUGUGAAGAUGCAGUGUACCCGCGGCAAGACGGAAAGACCCCGUGAACCUUUACUAUAGCUUGACACUGAACAUUGAGCCUUGAUGUGUAGGAUAGGUGGGAGGCUUUGAAGCGUGGACGCCAGUCUGCGUGGAGCCAACCUUGAAAUACCACCCUUUAAUGUUUGAUGUUCUAACGUUGGCCCCUUAUCGGGGUUGCGGACAGUGUCUGGUGGGUAGUUUGACUGGGGCGGUCUCCUCCCAAAGCGUAACGGAGGAGCACGAAGGUUAGCUAAUCCUGGUCGGACAUCAGGAGGUUAGUGCAAUGGCAUAAGCUAGCUUGACUGCGAGCGUGACGGCGCGAGCAGGUGCGAAAGCAGGUCAUAGUGAUCCGGUGGUUCUGAAUGGAAGGGCCAUCGCUCAACGGAUAAAAGGUACUCCGGGGAUAACAGGCUGAUACCGCCCAAGAGUUCAUAUCGACGGCGGUGUUUGGCACCUCGAUGUCGGCUCAUCACAUCCUGGGGCUGAAGUAGGUCCCAAGGGUAUGGCUGUUCGCCAUUUAAAGUGGUACGCGAGCUGGGUUUAGAACGUCGUGAGACAGUUCGGUCCCUAUCUGCCGUGGGCGCUGGAGAAUUGAGGGGGGCUGCUCCUAGUACGAGAGGACCGGAGUGGACGCAUCACUGGUGUUCGGGUUGUCAUGCCAAUGGCACUGCCCGGUAGCUAAAUGCGGAAGAGAUAAGUGCUGAAAGCAUCUAAGCACGAAACUUGCCCCGAGAUGAGUUCUCCCUGAGACUAUAAGUCUCCUGAAGGAACGUUAAAGACGAUGACGUUGAUAGGCCGGGUGUGUAAGCGCAGCGAUGCGUUGAGCUAACCGGUACUAAUGAACCGUGAGGCUUAACCUU